RNAcentral lists this non-coding RNA (240 nucleotides) under Tupaia belangeri chinensis (Chinese tree shrew). RNAcentral describes it as "Tupaia chinensis (Chinese tree shrew) Eukaryotic small subunit ribosomal RNA". It matches the Rfam family "Eukaryotic small subunit ribosomal RNA", at positions 1224 to 1479 of the family's 1831-position model. Lineage: Eukaryota; Metazoa; Chordata; Mammalia; Scandentia; Tupaiidae. The record is from Rfam by way of RNAcentral.
CUGGACAUGAACAGGACUGACAGAUUAAUAGCUCUUUCUUGAUUCUGUGGGUUCUGGUACAUAGCUGUUCUUAGUGGGUGAAACUAUUUGUCUGAUUAAUUCUGAAAAUGAAUAAGACCCUGGAAUGCUAACUAGUUACACAACCCUCAAGCAAUUGAGGGUCCCCCAACUUCUUAAAGGGACAAGUGGCAUUCAUCCACCUGAGACUGAGCACCAACAGAUCCAUGACAGCCUUGGAAG